Molecule: ribosomal RNA, 114 nt
Filed under: Aeromonas hydrophila
Lineage: Bacteria; Pseudomonadati; Pseudomonadota; Gammaproteobacteria; Aeromonadales; Aeromonadaceae
Also listed under: 1 other name
Source: RNAcentral
UGGCGGCCAUAGCGCCGUGGAACCACCUGAACCCAUGCCGAACUCAGAAGUGAAACGCGGUAGCGCCGAUGGUAGUGUGGCAUUCGCCAUGCGAGAGUAGGACACUGCCAGGCA